UGUCCUGUGGUGUAAUUGGCAACACGCCUGACUCUGGAUCAGGAAAGUGAAGGUUCGAGCCCUUCCAGGACAACCA
This 76-nucleotide transfer RNA is filed under the name Bacteroidales bacterium. RNAcentral describes it as "tRNA-Gln". It matches the Rfam family "tRNA". From Rfam's summary of the family: Transfer RNA (tRNA) molecules are approximately 80 nucleotides in length. Their secondary structure includes four short double-helical elements and three loops (D, anti-codon, and T loops). The record is from RNAcentral. RNAcentral also lists the same sequence under 1 other name. Lineage: Bacteria; Pseudomonadati; Bacteroidota; Bacteroidia; Bacteroidales.